RNAcentral lists this ribosomal RNA (428 nucleotides) under uncultured Chlamydiae bacterium. Its description in RNAcentral is "bacterial SSU rRNA". It matches the Rfam family "Bacterial small subunit ribosomal RNA", at positions 958 to 1385 of the family's 1533-position model. Lineage: Bacteria; Pseudomonadati; Chlamydiota; Chlamydiia. The record is from RNAcentral.
AACGCGAAGAACCUUACCUGGGCUCGAAAUAUAGAGGACGACAACAGAGAUGUUGUCUCCCGCAAGGGCUUUUAUAUAGGUGCUGCAUGGCUGUCGUCAGCUCGUGCCGUGAGGUGUUUGGUUAAGUCCAGCAACGAGCGCAACCCUUAUCGUUAGUUGCCAACAUGUAAAGGUGGGAACUCUAACGAGACUGCCUGGGUUAACCAGGAGGAAGGUGAGGAUGACGUCAAGUCCGCAUGGCCUUUAUGUCCAGGGCUACACACGUGCUACAAUGGUCGGUACAGAAGGCUGCGAAACCGUAAGGCGAAGCAAAUCCUCUAAAACCGAUCUCAGUUCAGAUUGUAGUCUGCAACUCGGCUACAUGAAGUUGGAAUUGCUAGUAAUGGCGUGUCAGCAACAACGCCGUGAAUACGUUCCCGGGCCUUGUA